UACGGAGGGUGCAAGCGUUAUCCGGAUUCACUGGGUUUAAAGGGUGCGUAGGUGGGCAAGUAAGUCAGUGGUGAAAUCUCCGGGCUUGACCCGGAAACUGCCAUUGAUACUAUUUGUCUUGAAUACUGUGGAGGUCAGCGGAAUAUGUCAUGUAGCGGUGAAAUGCUUAGAUAUGACAUAGAACACCAAUUGCGAAGGCAGCUGGCUACACAAAUAUUGACACUGAGGCACGAAAGCGUGGGGAUCAAACAGG
Molecule: ribosomal RNA, 253 nt
Filed under: uncultured bacterium
Lineage: Bacteria
Description: partial 16S ribosomal RNA
Rfam family: Bacterial small subunit ribosomal RNA
Source: RNAcentral